Molecule: ribosomal RNA, 235 nt
Filed under: uncultured Actinomycetales bacterium
Lineage: Bacteria; Bacillati; Actinomycetota; Actinomycetes; Actinomycetales
Description: partial 16S ribosomal RNA
Rfam family: Bacterial small subunit ribosomal RNA
Source: RNAcentral
GCGAACGGGUGAGUAACACGUGAGUAACCUGCCCUUGACUUUGGGAUAACUUCAGGAAACUGGGGCUAAUACCGGAUAGGAGCUCCUGCUGCAUGGUGGGGGUUGGAAAGUUUCGGCGGUUGGGGAUGGACUCGCGGCUUAUCAGCUUGUUGGUGGGGUAGUGGCUUACCAAGGCUUCGACGGGUAGCCGGCCUGAGAGGGUGACCGGCCACAUUGGGACUGAGAUACGGCCCAG